RNAcentral lists this long non-coding RNA (30840 nucleotides) under Brassica napus (rape). The record is from RNAcentral. Lineage: Eukaryota; Viridiplantae; Streptophyta; Magnoliopsida; Brassicales; Brassicaceae.
UUGUUGUUGUUGGCAGACACUGUCCCAUUCAGAUCAUUGAGUUCAGACUUCAAUCCAACUGGGAUCUCAGUAUUGAGCUGUGAGUUUGCAGCUACGUUGGGAUCCUUGUACAAGAGGUUGAACAAAGAAUUAACCCUUGGCAUGAGAGACUUCUCAUCUGGUGCAUCGAACUGGAUAUUAUCACUUAGCAGUUGCUGUUUCAAGCUCUCAAACUUCUCCAGAUGCUCCGGAUGAUUUCCACCAGCGGAAUCAGAUAGAAGUCCAACGAAAUCGCUCACUGAUAUGGAUUGCUGUAGUCCAGGUACUUUUAGCUGACUCGAAUCAGUUGAUAAGAACGCAACGAGAUCACUCACUGACAUAGACGGGUGUACUCCAGCUGCAUUUUCAACCUGAUUCGGAUGCGUUGUGUUGUCUGAAUCACAGAGAACUGCAAGGAAAUCGUUCAGUGACAUAGAUUGGCGUAGUCCAGGAGCUCCCAUCUGACCACAAUCCGUUGUGUUUCUUGAGUUGACCGCUUCAACACCCCCAGUUCCUUCGUUUCCGCGAGCAUCUAUCACUAGAGAUCAAUGACGCAAACAAUCAAAAUUUGGCUCAGUAGAAGUGAAAAGGAAAAGAACACUCCAGCAAUGAAAAAUACCUGAGCUAGGAGAUGGUGCCUCAUGAGACAGAUACAUAUGCUCAGAUGAUGACUGAGCCCCAACGGGAGAUGCUAAAUUAUGAGUCCCGGAUAUUGAAGGACCUGUGCUAAGAUUCAGAUUCCCAUAAGGAUAUCCCUUUGAUUCACUUGGAUCCUCAAAGAUAGAUGGCCGUGCAUCAAAGCAGAGGGAGUCCAUUUUUAUCUCUGGCUCACGGCUAAGAUGGAACAGGCGAUGAUCACACUGAACGAGCUUUUCGAAAUGUUUGUUCAUUAUCCCUUGAGCACAUUGCAGAAAAUGCAACCUAACAGAUCACAGGAAGACUAUUCAGCUCAAGCUAGAACAUAAACAUUAUUCAGCCACAAAAUGCUAAUGUUUCAAAACACAAGAAGUGUCUAUACCUGUACAUGCUGGCUUGGCCAUCGGUAAAAUCCGAUGUCGCCUGCCACAAAGUAUGUUUCCUAGGCUGUGGGUUUGUUUCCCGGAAAAAUAAGGGCUGCCUAGAAAGCUGAAACAGAAAGAGACAUGAGAUUAGAGUUGAAAAAGAGGACUGAAUGCGAGAAUGAGUGAAGUUGUACCAGGAGAGUCAAUGUUCCAGGUCCAUCCUCAGGACACUUUGCCUGUAACCCCACAAUAUCUGACCACUGGAUCUCGAUCUUGCUCUUAAGACCUUGCUCCAACACUUCCCAAACAAGUUUGUGUUUCGCGAAGUAACACUUCGCCACCAAAUCACCUUCAUACCUUGACUUGUACUAAAAACAAACAGAACCAUGUAAAAUCAGAUCUUGAAAGCACAAUGAAACAACAUGAUAUACCAAAAUUUACAGGGCUCACCUCCCACUUCCCAAUCUUCAAAACAGUAGCAGGAAAGUUCGAAGCUUUAAGCUUCUCAAUGCUUCCUGGCGCCAUACUCGCUCCAGCUGAUGCAGCAGCGAUGCAUUUACUUUCCUUCUUAACACCAGAGCCAACAGCAUCGGCGGCCUUUUGCGUUAGCCUCAUCUGAAUCAAAUCCAACAAAGAUGGACUCUUCCUAAGGCUUAAUCCAAGAGGACUCGGCUCAUCAAGAGGGUUAUACUUAGCCGGUGCCAUCGACGACGAGCUAGUCCCUGAGCUCCAUAGCUAAAAAAAAAGAGAUAUUCAACUCGAUGAAAAAAAAAAACACAAAACCUAAUCGAAAAACAGAGACUUUUCAAUCGAAUUCUCGCAGAGCGCAUAAGAGGAAGAACAAACCUUAGAUCGCUUGUUGAGAGGCCCAUGCGCUUCUUCCAAAUCAUCCUCAGCGAUCUCCAGCUUCACCGGGAGCUCACCACGGCACUUGGACGCCAAUUCAGAGUCCGGUCUCGUAACCCCAGAUUUCCUCAUUUCCACCAUCAAAACACGAAACCCUUUCUUCCUGAUCAAAUCCUCGAUACAGAGAAACCAAUUCGAUAGCGAAAUCGCGAAUACGAAAGAAAAAGUUUGGAUCUUUUUUUUUCUCUCACAGAGGAUUAUCCAGAACGCGAAAGAGAAUCAGCAAACCCUAGAAAAUCAGAUCUAUUUGAUUGAAAAGGAGGAUUCUUUUGGCGGCUAGCGACGCGAGUUUUACGCUUUGUACGCCACGCGCUAUUGUGAUUUGACGGGAAAGGGUUUUAAAAGUCCGAAACAGCCACCGCUUUGCGUGUGUGAGAGGAGGGCUGAGAUAGUCAUUUCGAAUUUUUUAGUAAAUGUUAUAAUUAAUUCGCUGGCGGACAGCCAGUAGUUCUUGAUAUAUCGGGUGGGUCCCGUAAUUUGCUUAUUCUUGUGACGGCUAUAGAUAGAGAUUUUGCCACGUGUUACUCGUUUUCACUGCCUAAUUUGUUAGGCUUUUUUUUUGUAGUCACUGGUCAAUAAUGUUGUCUUAAGCCACAUAAGGUUAGUCAGGACUCAACAAAAUACAAUCUUGUUGUCUUAAGCUACUUAAGGUAGCCAGGACUAAGUUAAAUAGAAAUCUUCUUUUAAAUUGCAAGUAAAGUCUCAUUCUAAUUGUGGUUGAGAAUAGACCAGGACUUCAAAAUUUUCUUUUAGAAAAAAAGCAUAAUGAAAUAAAAUUUCUUGAAUUUGUGCUUCAAAUUAAUGUUAACAAAAUACAUUAUCAAAUAAAAUAAUGAAUAUCAUAAAAAUACAAAUCUAUAAAAUUGGAACAUACUCAUUUUAAAUCUUGUCUCAUUUGGAUUUUAAACAUACUAGGACCGUUCCCGGGCUACGCCCGGGUUAUUUUCUAUGAAAAUAUUAAAGUAGAAUAUCAUAUUAGAUUAAUAUAUUUGUUUUAUAAAUUAUGUUAAAUGUAAAAUAGUGGUAGGAUUAAAAUAAUUAUUGAAUGUAAAAAAAAAUAGAAAAAUAAAAAAUAAUAGCAAAGUAAGAUAUCUAAUAUAAAUCAUUUUAUUUUAAUAAUGUUGAAUAAAAAAUCUAAAAAAAUAAAAUUAUAGAGACAUAAUAUAUAAUACUAAAAUAUAAAAUAUGCAUUUAUAUUGAUUACUAUUAUAUUAAAAAUGUAUAUUUAUAAAAUGAAAAGUAGCCGGAUGGACGUGCGAUUCAAACUCUAGUGAUUAUUAAAUUUGACAUUGGAAAAUGUUUAACAUAGUUUGAUGAGAAUUUAUAUUCAACUGUUUGAGAAGGACGCAAAUUCAUCUCUAUGUUACAUACCUGGAGAGUUGCAUAUGCAUCACUGAAUUCAUAGUGAGAUUCAAUCGUUUAAUUUAUAGUUUUCAAAAAAGGGUUGAAAUAGAGAGAAGAAGGAAUUGUCUAUUCUCUACUGAAACUAUUGGAAACAGGAAACGUGACUAUGAUCAAAAAUGUUAAAAAAAAAAAAAAAAACAAAACAAAAAUAGAGAACAAAACUCACUUCCUUUUCCUUUGCUGACAAUAUAAGCUUGCUAGUUUGUCCAUAAUCUAUCUUUGAAGUUGAAAGAAUUUGAAGGUUUCUUUAAAUUGGUCACAACUCUGCAAUAAACAAACUAUUGCACACAAACUAAGAAAUAAUAAUCUAUAAUAUUUCUUACAAAAUAAAUAAAUAAUAAUCUAUAGUAUUGAUGUUUUUUUCUUGUAACACCUAUAUUAUUAAAGUUAUAUCACGUUUUUUUUCUCUUUGCGCUACUUCAGUAAUCAAAGAAAGAGAGAAACAUCAUGUCAUCACAUUUAUUAAAUUUUACAAAAUUUCUUCAUCUUUCAUUUUUAUUAUUCGAGCGAAAUAUACUAAAAUAAUAUCUAAUAUUCUAUAUAUAAUUAUAAUCAAUAGUAUAUUUUAAAACCCAACAAAACAAUUAAUAUCUAUAUUUUCAUAAAAAUAAUUUAAUACAAAAUUAAUAAUAUAACUCUCAAAAAUACAAAAUUAAAGAACACAUUACUAAAACUCACAAAAUAAAGUAUUUAAAAUAUCACGAAUAGGAACCUUUAUUUAUCACUUCAGUUUCUUCACUUUUUCUUUAUUUUAUAACUGUCAACUAUUAAUCACUCCAAAAAUAUCUGUAAGCAAUGAUCUUAACAAAUGAGAAUUUACAAAUUACAGAUCUAGAUCUUCCUUUAAGUACCGAAAAUGGUUUAUGCUCAACUGUACUCCUUUUCAUAUGAUAUAGCAUUUAGCAUUUACCAAGUACAUAACUUUGAAAUCAUUGUUCCACCAAAAGUACAUAUCAUUUAAAGGGAUCAUAACUUGGAGACCAAGAAAUGGUUCGGAUGAUUCUAAGCGAUGUGUAUGAUCAAGAACAAAAAAUAUUUGUAUUUAACAAAUACCUAAGACUCAGAAACACUAUACCGACAACAUUGAUUAAUCGUUUUGUACAAUCACACCAUCCAAAAAUCACAAUCCAAAAAUUCAUUUGCAGGAUGCCCUUUAUUCCCAUUAAAUCCCACCACCAAACUUUACACACAAUAAAACCCAAUUUGACUUGGAAAAAACAUCAAAAACGAAUACAUGGGAGAUGAAUAAUGCAAUACAAUCACACUAACAUAACAGUCACAAAAGUAGUCGACCAAAAAUAUCCUCUCAGCCAGGAGUUUUCAGGAAGUCCAGCUUCUUCCUGAAUGACCAAAACACAAAACCUAAGAACCACAUAAUACAUUGUUUGCAAUCAUGUGAGGUGAGAAAGAAAAACAACGUACCAUACUGUCUCCGAUGAUGGCGCUAGCUCUUAGGCUUGCUGCGACUGUCUUUGCCCUCGACCCACAGCAGUCUUAGACAAAAACCUCUUCAAGAUAUUCACAGCGACCUCUGUGGUGAUCGAUCCACACACAUAAUUGCCUUAUUGCUUCUCUUUUCUCUUCUCCAAGUCCAACCAAAGUCUCCUUCAUCCUCUCCUUCUCCUUUUCAUCUUCUAUUAAUUUUUCUCCAAGCUUCUUUAUUUCCUCUUCUUUCCUCUCCUUUUCCUUUUCAUUUUCUCUUACUUUCUCUCCAAGCUUCUUUAUUUCCUCCUCUUUCCUCUCCUUCUCUUUUUCAUCUUCUCUUACUUUCUCUCCAAGCUUCUUUAUUUCCUCUUCUUUCCUCUCCAUCUCUUUCUUCAUCUUCUCCUUCUCGUGAUUCCUCUCAAUCACCCAAUACGUCGCAGCCCAUAGUAGUUUAGAUGCCUCCAUUACUGUUUUCUCAUACUUCCCCCGUUUCUCCAUGAGUUUUUCAGACAUUGAUUGAAAGACAUCUAGUGUUGUGUUCACUUUCUCUGCUAUCUCUUUCAUCAUACGUCGAUGAGUCUCAUGAGUCAUUGUGAGGCUUUUUUCAAGCAAUGCUUGUUCUUCUAAGUGUUUAGCUUCUUCUCUCCUGAAAGCUUCCUCUUUCUCUGUUAGCACCUGUUCGGUUACCCUCAGUUUCUGGUUGGAUAAACGUAGCUUAACCUAGAUGUUACUGAUCUUCUCCAUGAGAGUUUCUAUCUCUUCUCCUUUCAUUUCUAGCUCGUUACGUAAACUCUCCAUUUUCUCUUCAUGACCUGCGAUUGCAGAAUCUGUGGAUGAUACUUCAUUACUUGUCUCCUCCAAUAACCUUUGGGCUUCUUUGUGAUCCUCUGUUAGCUUAUUAAGUUCUUCGUCACGUUCUUUUAACAGUUGGUUGAUCUGUUUGUGCCCUCUCCCAGCGUAUUGUAAGCAGCUUCUUGCUCUACCAAUGCUUUUUUGACAUCGAUGAUCUGAUUAGACAAAUCUGAUUUCUCUUGCUUCUCUCUAUCAAGCUCUGAUUCGGUUUCACUUUUCUUCAUCUUCAGAGAAUCAAGUUGAUGCUGCAGACUGUUGAUCUGUUCUGUUAACGCCACUGUAUCAGCUGAGGCUCUGUUUAUCUUAUCCAUUAGCUUAAUCUGCAUUAAAGGUUCAUCGCCUUUGCUAUCCAUUAGCUUCUCUAACUCUUCUUUUUGAGCAGACAGCGACUCUAGUCCUGCUCUUAGGCCAUCGAUCUCAGCUGUCAAACUCUCAGUUGUGGAGGAUGAUUGCUUCUCCUUAUCCUCAAGUUUUUGGGUUAAAGCAGAGAGUUCAGUUCCUCUGUCGUCCAUUGUCUUCUCAAGUUCUGAGAUUCUAGCAACCAUUUCUCUGUUUUGUGCUUUUAGUUGCUCAACUUCAGUGGUCUUUCCAGCAAUUUCUGUCUCAAGAUCUACUCUCCGGCACGAACUGACUGUAGCUCGAACUCAAGGGUCGCUACUGUUGCUUGUAGUUCUUUUAUUUGACCUGUGAUUUGCUUUCCUUCUCUGUCAGAUUUUAAAGUUCGGCUUCUUUAUCAGUAAGCUGUUGUUUAAGUUUGCUUGACUCAACUGUGAGUUCCUGUAACAUGAUCUGUACUCCUUGGAGCUCCCCUGAAGUAUCUGAGAUUUUAGUGGACAUGGAUUUGUUUUCUUCCUCUGCAAUCUUCAGACUUUCAUUCAGAUCAGAAACCCUUUGUUCAGAUGACUUCAGUUGCGCUUCUAAAUCUCUUAGUUGAGUGGAUGAUUCUCUCUGAUGAGUCUCAUGGAUAUCCCUCAAACUGAGAAGUUCCUUUUCUUUCUCAUUGUGGCUCUCUUUUAACUGUCCAGACUCAGACAUGAGUUCUUGGUUAGAGCAGUUGAAGGGUUUUGAUUUGUACAAACGAAAGUAAAUCAGUAUAUAAAGGAUGAGGAAUAGAGGAAACUGAAACGAAAUCAUUAAGAAGAAAUUGAUUGAUCAAAUUUAAGUGGAGUUUUGGUUGAGAAGAAGUGGAGUUUUGAUUGAGAAGAAGUGGAUCCAUUAGAACUCUGGUUUCAAGCUGAGAAGACGAAAAAGUAAAGGGGAAGCUCCUCGUGACUUUCGUCUUCGUCGGGUUAUGAAAAAAAAAAUAAAGCGUACAGACGAUGCAAACGAAGCCCAGAAGCCCACUCCAAACAAACGAAAACGUGAAGCCCAGAAGCGACUAAAGCCUGUCUGACGUGUCCAAACGAAAUGUUUUGAUUGGCUGAUUAUUUUUGGUGACGUGGCAGCCUAGAAACUCAGCAUAUUCUCCUUUUAGUAUAGUAUAGAUUAGUUGCAAGAAUUACCGUCACUCCCACGUCCCAUGUUUAAUAUAGAAAGCAAAUCUCAAGAUGAUAACAUUUUGAUGAUAAAAAUAGUAAACUAAGGUUUUCGGUAUAAUAUUAUAAGUUUACACGUACACAUGAGUACAUAUCAUCUCUCAAGUUAAUUUAGAUUGCAAAAAGCUUGAAUCCACGCUAUUCAGUGUUACAGGUCCUUUAUCUACGGACAUCCCUCUCCUCUGGAAUGGCAAAUGGAGAAAACGAAAUGAAAAAAUGACUGAUGGCUCAAAUUAUAAGUCGCACACAAACAAAACAGAAAUAUUAUCUUUGUUUUCUUUCUCCUCAACGCUCUUUUCCUUGCGUGUGUGGGAUUUAUUCUGUUCAUCUUGUUACAAGCUGAUAUUCAUCAACCUAUCAACCUCAUUUGGAAAAAAAAAGUUUUGAAAGAAGAAGAAAAAGAAGAAAGAGAAAUUUCGUAAAUGGAGGAUGAUAUAUAUAGUAACCACUAAGCGUUUUCUUGAUCCUUCAUCAUCUUUAAGAUUGGUCUUUCUUUAAAAGAACAAUGCCUGUGCCAGAUCCACGAGCGGGGCAGGCAUUCAUCUGUCUCAUUACCUUAUUUCUUUUCUUGUCGAUUGCUGUCGGAGGAGGUUGUCUCAUUGCAUACACAGUCCUUCCUUACCCUUCAAUCUGGCUCGCUUACAUCGGCAUUUUCUUUGUUUGUCUUCCUUGGUUCUUUUGGAUCUUAACAUUUUCAUACCGCAUUGUUUCACGCACUUUUGGAUUCAGGAUGGUCAUUGGAUCCGGUGGUAACAAUAACAGUGCCAAUGGAGAGGCUAAGCCACGCGAACUUGACCCUCCCGAGCAAUCGUUAGAGUCUCCUAAAGAUGAACCUGAGGCAAUGGCUCGUCCGCAAGGCCAUAUUCUAAUGUCAAUGGAAGGGAACCAAUCCAAGAAACGAAUGUCAACAUCCAGCGUCGGUUCACAUGAAAGUGAGAUGCCACUAGCCAUUUCUAUGGGCUCAUGAUGAUCAUAUAUGCUUCCUUUGAUAUAUAAUGAGAUCUUGACAUUGAUAGCAUCAGGACGGAGAUGCUAACCAGAUGCUUAGCCUCUUGAAAACAUGGAUAUAUAUUUGCUGUUUUUACUUUGUAUCUUAUACAGAUAGAUUUGUAGAUUCAACAAAAGAAGAAGUUUUACACCUUUUACUACUACCAAAGUUUUUCCCUCAAGCCCAAACCCCAACAAAGUUGAGGUUGUUUUCCGGUUUAUGUUUAGAAAUCGAGAGAAAUGUUUGUUGCAAAGGGGAACAGUCUGAGAUGUUUCACGUGGUGCAUGUAAUGCGGAUUUUAUAGGAUAGAUAAACAUUUGAGAUUCAUAAAAUUUAUGUAAUUUUGUAUAUAUCUAUAACUAGUUAUGUAAUAUAGCUCUGCUGUGAAGCCUUUGAUUUUGGGGCUAAGACUUAGAGGUUCUUUAACUUGACAUACAAGCCAUGAUAUCAGAUUGUUAAGUACCAAAUGGGUCACUUUAUGAUCUGUCAUGUUUGAACUAGUUAUAACACUAGAGGAUUUGGCAAAAUUACAAACAUUUUUUAUUUCCUGAUCACUCUUGAGCUUUCCUCGGGAAAAUUGUCACAAUUUGGUUCUUAAAACAAUACUGUUUGUGUGUUCUCCUUAUAUUACGUUGACUGAUUCUAACAUCAAAUCAUUUUUAUUAUCUAUCAAAUAUGUAUCAUCAUAUCCAUCAUCCAUGCAAACAGUUGCUGAACAUUGAACAACGCUAAAAACCAUGGCAUCAUACUGGCCCUAUAUGUUUAAGAAUUUGCAGCCUAAUGUUUUUCACUACUUUUCAUAUUAUAACAGAAAGUAGAAGAAGAGAAAUAUUUUUUUGACUAAACAACUAAGCGACAAGCCUUAGACAAACGAAGAAACAUUGCAAAGACAUGUCAUUUACAAUAACUCUAGUUUCUAGUGUGGUCAUAAAGCACGUGAAUAUUCAUCAUUUGACUCUUGCUUGCUAUACAUAAUCAUACCGAGAAACAACGAUUAAAUUAUCUUUCAUUUCUGCAUAUACUUAAUAUAUGAGGAUUACAGUAGUAGUUUUAUACCAGUAGUUACUGAUGAUAAUAACAUAUAUAUAUGAAUAUAUAUAUAUAUAUAUAUAUUCAUCAAAGUAUAUAUAUCUUCAUCAAAGUCAUUGUUAUCUAUUACUCUUCUUCAAAUAAUUGACUUCCUUUGUUUUCUUUCUAUCUAGAAUACUCCACAUGAGCAAUAAGGUACAUUUAGAUACUAUUCGGAUUCUUAGCUAUAGAUGACCAAAAAAAAAAAAAAAAAAAAAAAAUUGUAUCUAAGUAUCAUAUUUCAUUUGUAGAUGCUUAUAAAACAAUACAAUAUUCUUUAUUUUUUAUAUUUCAUUUUUUGAGAAAAUGUACAUAAUUACAUAAACAAUAUCUCGGUAAGCAACGUGAGAUUCAAUAACUCUUGUUCGUAUGUAUGAAAGUUAAUCUUAAGAUUUCUGGAGAAUUUGAAGCCACGAACGGACCACGGACGACUAGACGAGUAAGAGACGUGUGAUAGGUUCAAUGACUCUGGAUAAUUUGGCAGUACGUACAAGUGUAGCCAACACAAAAGAAAGAAAAAGACAUCUACACAAUAUUAAUAUUUGAAACUAAUAGAAGUCCAAGUGGAAGUAAAGUGGGAGCAAGACACCACACGGCAAGGGACACACAACUGAAAGAGAGACAAGGGUAUAUAGAAAGCUUAAGAUCAUAUGAUAUGUCCGAAUCAUCUCAUGUGCAAACUUCUUUUUUAAAACGGGUUUGUUGAUUUUUUUUAUUAUUAAGAAAAUUUUGUAGGUAUUAAUGUUCUAAACACCAUCAUACUCAUUACAGUGUUUAUAAUGUCAUAAUCGCUUACCAGACUCGACCAAAAUAGUGAAAUUUAUUGAUGAGAAAAUCAAGAUAUUGAGGCAAUUGUUUUUCUAACUGUUUUAUGGAUGAAGGCUUAGAAAAAAAAACCCGUGUAGACGAUUUUGAGGGUAAUCAACAUAUAUAACCCUUUAAGAGAAUAAACAAUGCAAUUAGCAAUUAAUUAGAAUCUUGAUGUGUCAAGUGAAAUAAUAUCCCAUACAAAAAUAUAUCUUAGCAAAAAAAGUGAAAUAUAUAACAUAUAAUCCAUGUGGUUUCAGAUUCUUAAUAUGUUUGAUAUGAAAGACAUCUAUUGUAACUAUAUAAAUAGAUACAUAUAUGUAGAGAAAGUUAGUUGGGGGCUAACCAGUAGCCAUCGAAAGUGUUUGGUAAAUAUUAUUUUCUGAAGUAGAAGAAGAAGAAACAAAAGAAAAAAUAGAAGAGAGACCAAACACUUAUCAUGAUUCAUGAGUAACCAUCAUAGUUCCCAUUUCUCCAAGAAAAUUUAUUGUUUACUUUCAAUAUUUUUUCCCUUGAAGAAGAGCUUUUCCUUGUAGCUCUUAUGAUUAUAGUUAAGGUUAGGUGUGAAAAAGUAACCGAAUGUAAAUCAAGCUUUCGGCGAAAAUGCUACUUGUAUGCAACAAAAAGUAUUAGAAAAAAAAACGAAAACAAUCAUCAGUUAGAUAAACUUUGUCACUUUUGAUCUCGAUUGUUUCCCAUUUCAGUUCUUUUUUAUCUCCUUAUAAUUAAUCUCCAUCAAAGAAACAAAAAAGAGAGAUACAAACUCAUGAUCACUAUUAUGAUAUGUUUGAAGUAAUUUGGGAACGUAUGCGUGACAUGAGGGAGGUGCAGACAACCUAUCAGACGUUGACAAUCACCUAAAUGUAACGCUAUCUAUCUCGUCUUUGAGAGCCUGAUUAUUGUAUCUUAGAUGGUUACUAAUUAUAUACUGAACCUGAUAAAACCAACUAUUAAUAAAGAUAUUGAAGUUGUUUGAUACUACUAUUUUAAUUUUGAUUCAGAGUAGUUAACACAAGAAUGAAUGAUGACUUUUCUGGGAAACUAAAGUUAACUCAAAACCAAAUGAUUUCAAAAAAUAUAUAAAUAUGAGGAAAAAUACGGAAAUUCAUAAUGACUACUUAGUACUAAUAAUAUAAAAACUAAAUGAUUUGGUCUCCUUGUUACUGACCUCUCUACGAGCAAAAGAGAGAAGAAGAAAACUCUUUUAAUUAUCAAAAUUAGGUGGCGCGAAAAUAACGCCCUCUCUCUCUCUCUCUCUGUCUUACUAUUAAUCUUUAUCUCUCUCUCUCUCUGAUCCUUCAAUCGCCCGAUCAAAUUCUUCUACCUCUGGCGUUUUUUUGUAAUUGUUCACGAGCAUUCCUCAUCAUCGCCGGCGGCAAUAGACUUGUGAUUCCGAUCGCGUUUGUAUUCCUCAUUACGAUCUCGAAAGGCAUUGAAGAUUGUAUCUCUCCUGGUAAGAUAAUUUUCUAAUUCCCGAGCUCGAGAUUCCUCGGAUCUUCGCAUUUUGGUUUAUCAAUUCCCAAUUUUUGAUUCUACCCAAAAUCUAAAGAACCCUAAAAAUCAUGAAUUUUCAUUACUUGCGAUCUGAGAUUUCAUGAGUUAGGACAAAUAAUGUUUUUUUUUUGUGUGUUUUUUGAUUAUUUGAUACAAAUCUAUGUUUGGUUUAAGACACGUAAUUCCUGUUUCGGCUGUUCGUGAAUUUUGAUUAGAAAAUGUUUGUUUCUUAGGAAAAUUACUAAAUUUGAUUAACGAAGAGUCUGUGUCAUGAGAGACACAAGUCGGUCAGUAAACAGACAAAUCUUCCAUUUUUAUUUUUGUUUUUUGGAUUCUUCGUCUUAAACACUGAAUAAUAGUGUUUUCUUGUUUUCUUUUGUGAGUUUCCUUCACUUUCUCAAAUUUGGUCAAUGUUUUCAAACACCACGAAUCUUCACUCUUACUGCAUUUCAUCAUUCCAAUCCCUGGUUCUUACACAAACGUGGUCCCCUAACUGGAGAAACAUCAAUAUCUGCAAAAUGUCCUUAUGUGUUUGUUGUUAUAUAAGUUUCUUAUUGUCACACAGAUUAUUAAAAUCUCUCAAGCUGCUAGUUUCAGUAACUUUCUUUUGUUCUUUUUCUUCUCUUUCAUGGAAAGACGAAGAAGAAGAUUGGUCCCCUUAAUUUUUUUUUCCAGCCAGUCUGAUAAUGGCACUUCUGUGAUAAGGACACUGCAUCAGAUUCUCCUUCAGAAAAUCUUUUACUUAAAAAAAAUUAUUUUCUGAUAAUGUAAAACUGCAACUAACUAGUUAGAACUCAACCCACCUUUCUCUCUUGUUUACUGUUCUUUUUAAAAAUAUAUAUCUUUUUUUGCAUUGUCUAUCUGCGAGGUAUCUUACUUUUUCCUCAUGUGUUUUGACUUUCUUGCAGUAUAAAGAAACUAGAGGCAUGAGCUCCUGAAUCCAAUCAAUGCAAGUUUGUUUCAUUAAAGCUUUGAAUGGAUGUAGCAACAGAUACUACAAGACGGAGACUUGUUCCAUCAGAUAAGAACAAUGCGUCCACUGCCACUCGCCGUCCUCGAACAGCAACAGAGGUCAGUUCAAGAUACAGAUCACCUACACCAACCAGAACCACUCGAUGCCCUUCCCCAAGCCUCACAAGGCCUACUGUUUCUUCCACCUCUCAAUCCGUAUCCGCCAAAAGAGCUGUUUCCGCUGAGAGGAAGCGUCGUCCUUCAACACCUCCAUCUCCCACUAGUCCAUCCACGCCUAACGUGUCUAUAGACUUACCAGCUUCAUCUAGGCGGUUAUCCACAGGUCGUUUGCCUGAGAGCUUAUGGCCUUCUACUAUGAGAAGCCUCAGCGCUUCGUUUCAGUCGGAUUCUUCUGUCUCAGUCCCUGUUGGUAAGAAGGAGAGACCGGUUAGUAGCUCUUCAUCUGACCGAACGUUGAGACCUUCUUCUAAUAUAGCUCAGAAGCAGAAGGCUGAAACGGUAUCUGUGUCAAGGAAACCUACGCCGGAGAGGAAAGUAAGUCCGUUGAAAGGGAAGAACAAUGCAUCUGAUCGUUCAGAGAAUUCGAAACCUGUGGAUGGUCAGCACAGUAGGUUAAUAGAACAGCACCGGUGGCCUAGUAGAAUCGGUGGAAGGAACUCACUAAACAGAAGUUUGGAUCUUGGAGACAAGGCUUCAAGGGGUCUGUCUACUUCAGGACCUGGAAUGAGACCGUCUCCUAGGAGAAUGUCACUGCCUUUGUCCAACGGCUCGAAACCUUUGCAUAAAACUUCUACAAACGGUGAUGUACUGUCUCCAACGAAGUCGGAAGAUAAUAACAUAGGGCGAAGUUCAGGAGCUCAAAGACUUUUGUCUGCAAGUUCGUUAGAUAGAGCGUCCUUAGCAACGGCUGUAGCCAAGCUGCAUCCAUUAUCUCGCCCUGCUUCACCAAGUAGAACUUCUUUUUCGUCGUCUCUCUCCCGAGGCAUGAGUACUUCGAGAGGAGUGAGUCCUUCAAGAGGACUAAGCCCUGCAAGAGGGUUGAGUCCUGCACGAGGUGUAAGUCCUGCUAGAGGGUUGAGUCCUUCGCGUGUGACAAGCUCUUCUUCUUUUGCGAGACCAUCAACUCCACCUUCAAGAGGGGUAAGUCCUUCCCGGAUAAGACAAAGCAGCGAUUCUACACAAUCAAUCAGUACCACCGCAACUUCGGUUCUCAGCUUCAUCACGGAUGUGAAGAAAGGCAAAAAGGCAAACUACAUCGAAGACGUUCAUCAACUGCGUCUGCUCCACAAUAGGUAUUUACAGUGGCGGUUUGUACUUGCGCGUGCUGAAGCUGCCAUGUACAUUCAACGUUUAACUUCCGAGGUAGAUAAUACUACUCUCUAACGGUUCCACAACUGAUUGAUCUCUGAAAAUUCAAGUUUUGAUAUUUCAGGAAACACUAUUUAAUGUGUGGCAUGCGAUAUCAGAACUACAAGAUGAUGUGACCAGCCAAAGGAUUGGACUGCAACAGCUGAAGCUAGAGAUCAAACUCAACUCACUAUUAAACGAUCAAGUACGUUUUCCCUCUUUCUCUGUGUUGUAUACUGGCUUUGUAUACAUCAGAUUAAACCAUGCUGAUGUAUAAGUAUGUGCGUAGAUGGUGAGCCUUGAAGAAUGGGCCACACUUGAAAGAGAGCAUGUUAGUUCUCUAGUUGGAGCCAUAGCAGAUUUAGAAGCAAAUACUCUCCGCCUUCCAGCUACUGGAGGAACAAAGGUAUGCAUUGUUACUAUUCCUUCAGAAAGAUCAAGAAUAUAGUUAUCAUUUUAUAACUUCUCUUCCUACAGGCGGACGUAGAGUCUUUGAAAGCAGCUAUGUCCUCGGCACUCGAUGUAAUGCAGGCUAUGGGAUCGUCCAUUUGGUCUUUACUCUCCAAGGUGAGAGACCUUUUUAGUAAAUCUACUGUCCAAUGUUUAUCCUCUUCAUAACUCUCACUGCUCUUUAUAAUUGUUACAGGUGGAGGAGAUGAACAAAAUGGUCUCAGAACUCGCUGUAGUAGUUGCAAAAGAGAGUUCUAUGCAAGGAAAAUGCGAAGAUCUUCUGGCCUCCACUGGCAUCAUGCAGGUAACAAAAACAAUCCAGUAGUUUAGUGUAGAAUGAAUUUUGAAAAAAAAUGAACUGAAACCGAGUUUUGGUGGCAUGGAACAGAUAAAAGAGUGUAGCCUAAGGACUCAUCUGAUACAAACUAGGAGAGAAGGAGAAGAAGAUGCAGAGGAGGAGACUCCUCCAGUGUUGCCACAAAGCAAGUUUCCAUGGCCAUAAAUAACACACUUACAGUUCCACUCCCUCAACACUGAUGACUAAUCAUCACCUGUAAAUUGCUCUUUGAUGCCCUCACAUUUUUCUUUUUGAUCUUUCCUUGUUUUUUUUUUUUUUUUAUGAAACAUUAGCAUAGGGAAAGAAGGAAGUGAAAGAUCGAGAGUUCGAAAGUCGUAGGAAGAGGAAAAAACCAAUUUAAUUGUAAACUCUGAUGUAAGGUUUCUUUGAGGCGUUUUAUUUAUAUAGAGUCGAUUAGUUUAAACUUUAAACUUUAAACGAUUCAUAACAAAAACUAACUUUAGGAUUGUUCAUAAAUCAUAACUAAUCGCAUCAUGUAAUCGUUUGAUGCAAAACGUUUAAAUAAAUAAAAAUGUAAGAAACGCAAAAUGAGUCGUUUCCUUUUCACUCAAACGCAAAUGUUACUACGGACAGUAACAGCCGCCACCGCCGAGACAACCGUUGCAGUGAUAAACAACAACAAGAACAGCUUCUUCGAUCUCUUCAAAACAUCAACUUCACUCUCUCACCUCGCCCAAACCCACGCUCAGAUCAUUCUCCAUGGCCACCAAAACGACAUCCAACUACUCACAAAACUCACCCAACGUCUCUCCGACCUCGGCGCCAUCCCCUACGCACGCAGCCUCGUCCUCUCCUUCCAUAAACCCGACGUCUUCCUCUUCAACGUCCUCAUGCUCGGCUUCUCCAAGAACGGAUCGCCUCACUCUUCUCUCUCACUGUUCUCCCACUUGAGGAAACACACUGACCUCAAACCCAACAGCUCCACUUACACCUACGCUAUCUCCGCCGCUUCGAGUAUUCAUGACGAGAGAGCUGGCCGUUCUGUUCAUGGUCAAGCAGUCGUUGAUGGGUUUGACUCGGAACUACACGUCGGGUCGAAUAUCGUCAAGAUGUACUUCAAGUUUUCGCGGGUGGUUGAUGCUCGCAAGGUGUUCGACGGAAUGUCUGAGAGAGACGUGGUUUUGUGGAAUACUGUGUUAUGUGGAUACAGAGAGAACGAGAUGUAUGAGGAGUCUGUUAUGGUUUUUAGGGAUUUGAUUAACGAGAGCUGUACUCGUUGGGACUCGACGACUGUGUUGAAUAUACUCCCUGCUGUUGCGGAGUUGCAGGAGCUGAGGGUUGGGAUGCUAAUCCAUAGUCUCGCGAUGAAGACAGGGUGUUAUUCCCACGAUUUUGUUCUCACGGGUUUCAUCUCGUUGUACUCGAAAUGUGGAAAGGUUGAAGCUUUGGAUGCUCUGUUUCGAGAGUUUUGUGCACCGGAUGUGGUGGCUUACAAUGCGAUGAUUCACGGGUAUGCUUCUAACGGCGAGACUGAGCUCUCGUUAAGGCUGUUUAGAAAGCUGGUGUUGUCGGGGGAAAGGUUGAACUCAAGCACGCUGGUGAGUUUGAUCCCUGUCUCUGGUGGUCAUCUUAUGCUUGUAUAUGCCAUUCACGGUUACAGCUUGAAAUCAGGUUUCUUGUCUCAUGAAUCUGUCCCAACCGCGUUAACAACGGUUUACAGUAAAAUGGACGAGAUGGAAUCAGCACGGAAGGCUUUUGAUGAGUGUACGCACAAAAGCUUGGCGUCUUGGAACGCAAUGAUCUCGGGUUAUACACAAAACGGGUUGACAGAGGACGCGAUAUCUCUGUUCAGAGAAAUGCAGAAGUCUGAGUUUCGUCCGAACCCGAUCACGAUAACUUGUAUUCUAUCGGCUUGUGCGCAGUUAGGAACGUUGAGCUUGGGGAAAUGGGUGCAUGGUUUAGUAAGGGGUAGCGAUUUUGAGUCUAGCAUAUAUGUGUCUACUGCUUUGAUUGGUAUGUAUGCAAAGUGCGGAAGCAUUGAAGAAGCACGCCGGUUGUUUGACUUGAUGCCGAAGAAGAAUGAAGUUACAUGGAACACAAUGAUCUCCGGUUAUGGGCUCCAUGGACAUGGACAUGAAGCUCUGAAUAUCUUCACUGAGAUGUUGAACUCCAGCGUUGCACCGUCGCCAGUCACUUUCCUCUGUGUUCUCUACGCUUGUAGUCAUGCUGGCCUGGUCAAGGAAGGUGAUGAGAUUUUCAGUUCCAUGAUCCACCGGUAUGGUUUUGAACCAACGGUGAAGCAUUACGCUUGCAUGGUUGAUAUUCUUGGCCGAGCAGGACAUUUGCAGAGAGCGUUGCAGUUCAUAGAGGCAAUGCCAGUUGAGCCGGAUCCUUCCGUGUGGCAGACACUGCUUGGAGCUUGUAGGAUUCACAAAGACACAAACCUUGCACGUACCGUCUCCGAGAAGCUCUUUGAGCUGGAUCCAGACGAUGUUGGAUACCAUGUUUUGCUGUCAAAUAUUCACUCGGCUGAUAGAAACUAUCCACAGGCUGCUACGGUCAGACAAGAAGCAAAGAAGAGGAAACUAGCCAAGGCUCCUGGUUAUACCUUGAUAGAAAUUGGUGAGACGCCUCAUGUGUUUACCUCAGGCUGCUACGGUCGGACAAGAAGCAAAGAAGAGGAAACUAGCCAAGGCUCCUGGUUAUACCUUGAUAGAAAUUGGUGAGACGCCUCAUGUGUUUACCUCGGGUGAUCAGUCACAUCCACAGGUAAAAGCAAUAUAUGAGAAGCUAGAGGAGCUCGAAGGGAAGAUGAGGGAAGCUGGGUAUCAACCGGAGACUGAAUUGGCCUUGCACGACGUGGAGGAGGAAGAAAGGGAGCUGAUGGUGAAAUUUCAUAGUGAGAGGCUAGCCAUUGCCUUUGGACUCAUUGUCACCGAACCAGGAACUGAAAUUCGGAUCAUAAAGAAUCUCAGGGUCUGUUUAGACUGUCAUGCCGUAACCAAACUCAUCUCGAAGAUCACAGAGAGAGUGAUAGUUGUAAGAGACGCCAACCGCUUCCACCAUUUCAAAGAUGGUGCUUGUUCUUGCGGAGAUUAUUGGUAGUGACUUGUUUUGGCCGCAAGACAAGUCAUCUUGUACUCAUAAUGUAACAUUACAUCACUCAUAAGUGAUUAUUCUUUAAGUCUUGGUUUCUUGUUAUUCAAAUAAUCUACUUCUAUGGUUUCACAUACAUGGAAAUAAAAGGAACUAUACCGAAACUUAUCAAACUCACUGUUAUUACCAGAUAAUAUAUCUUCAGACAAUUGUGCAUCAUGUAUCCUUAAGUUGCAGUCCCGUCGCUGAAACUUCAUCAUCAGCUGACUUUUUCUUCUUUUUUAGGGAGUGGUUCUUGAGCUUUCCGAAGAACUUCCUUGUUUGGUACCAAGACAAUAAAACAAGUUUCUGUCUCUGAAGUAUUUACUUUCCUCAGUCGCAAGCUUUAGAUGUUGACAAGUUUCAGCGACUCAAGUAACAAGAGCAAUGCAGAUGCCAAUCCAAUUUCAAUUAGAAAAGACUAAAGAGGUUAGAGUACACAAUACACAGACCUCUCCAAUUUCAGUCUGGAAAUAUCUUAUAAUUAAAUUACGUAUUUAAAACAAUGGACCGUAUGAGUACUAUCAGGCCCAAUAAAUAAAAGGCCCAAACCCUAAAAACGCCUGAGGGGGAGAAGCUGAUAACGAAAAUAAAAAGAAGCAUCAAUACGCUUCUCCGCCGCGUUCGUUCCUUCAUUCUUUCUCACACAAACUCUCUCCCUCUCUCUCUCUCAGGUAACGCUUCUUCAAUUUUGUCUCUUUCAUUUCAAAUACUCCUUUCUCAUCUCACUCCUCUGGUUACGUAGCCUCCGCCAUUGAUCGUUUGCGUCUAUUGUGCAGCCCUACUAACAACCAUCCUAGCUUUUACCGCGAAAGAUUCCGAGAGUGAUGUUGAGCUUGAGGCCAGGAGGAGGUCGUGGAGGAAGCAUCUUCGCCCCACGCUCUGCCUUGUCUUCCUCUUCCUCCUCUGAUCUUACCAAUGCCGAAGACGCUCCUUCUUUUGCCGUUAAGGUUGUUCAUUCGUUUGCUCUUCUUCUAGAACUUUUAGCUGUAAAUUCGAUUCCGUUUUUUAUUUCUCUCGUUUUGGAUUGAAUCUGAGUUUUGGAAUCUGAGACACAACAAUGCAAUGUCCUAAUUCUUGGUGGGGCGCUUAAGCAAUGCGGCCUUGCUGUAAAUAUGCACAGAGAUUGAUUACUUUUUAGGUGGGCACUCUUUAAGUUCUUUGAUGCUCAUAAAGGACCCUACGUACAUGUUAUUGAUUUGAGAACACAUGCGUGUUGAGUCUAGCCAUGUUUUUAAUUCUGAAGUUGACGUUUUAAUGGAUUUUUUUUUGUUUUGUAGAGAGGAGACUCGAGNNNNNNNNNNNNNNNNNNNNNNNNNNNNNNNNNNNNNNNNNNNNNNNNNNNNNNNNNNNNNNNNNNNNNNNNNNNNNNNNNNNNNNNNNNNNNNNNNNNNUACCCUCGAUGCGACUUUCAUUUACCCAAUGUGAUACUCACAUUACCUACUUUUCCAUUUCUCAUAAACACAAUGUGUUUUCUUGAAUGUGGCUCAUAUAUGGUAGAAAGAAACGUAGUAGAGCCUAACAUUAAAAUGUUUCAAACAAACAAACAGUAGAAGAAGAGGAAGAACCAGCGAAACCAAGACAUAAAAAGCUCUUAUUUAUUCUCUCCCUCUCUUCUUCAUUCAAUGACUGAGAAUCUUCAUCAAGCCAGAACUCAUCAUGAGUCACUAACGAGUUCAGACAUCUCGCUCCUGAUGCUCUUCUCCGGUGUGGACAACAAUGGAGUUCCAGAAAUAAAAGCCUUGAAGAGCGCAAGUGCCUCCUUUGGUCUGUGCAAAGGAACUUCAUGUCCUGCGCCUCUCACAGUCACAAAGUUUAGACCUGCAUACUGCUGAGUCCACCCUCCCACCUGUUUCAAAUCAUCAUGACUAAAGUUUCAAAACAAUGAGAAGAAAAUGAUUCUCACUUUCUCAGUUGAGUUUGUUUGUUAAUUACCUGUCCGUCUAUGUACCAAGGGCCAUAGGGACUAGUUGUACUAAGGUUUAGAGCAUCUAUGCUGUACCGGGUUGAUGUGACUGGUACAACAGCAUCUGCAUCUCCACUGUUACCACCGAAACAAAACUUUUAUUAACCACCAAAACGCCACAAAAACUUGAAGAAAAGAUAUAUAGAGAAAGAGACCUGAAAACCCAUAUACGAAUCCCAGCAGCUAUAAGCUCGUGGUAAAUGUCUAGAACCGAGGAAGCACAGUCGUUCCAGUUUUCAUUCACCACGUAACUGCAAAACCAUAUACAUUCGGAUCAGGAUUGUUACAAAGCCUUAAACCGAGUUCUAAGAUAAUAUGGUAAGGUGAAUUUUACUUGCAAGUAUCCCAUUUGGAUGGUGCAACUUCUGGUGGGACAUGGAGAGCUCUUUGAACCUCUGGAAGAUUGAAAUACACUUUGGAGUGUUUCUCCGUGCAAGGAUCAUAUUGUUCACUCACGCGGCUAUUCACCUAAGCAAAACAAAUGAUGACAUUACCUCAACACAUUCUUGACUUAAGAGGGAAUUUAAGAUCACUUACUGGUCUUCUCUUUAGGAGCAUUCUUGACUGGGAAGCACUUGCAACACAGGCCGGUGUGAAGACACUGUAGUGGUCUAUGUUACCCAUUUCCUUGUAGGAUAUCUCCAGAGCGUUAUUGCAGGCUUCAGAGGAGUGAAUAAAUGGUUCCAAACCACACUGGAGUUUCAGUAAGGUGUAUGUUUGGUCGGAGAUGAAACCCAGCGUCCAAAUAUACUGGAAAAGACCGAGCUGGUCUUGGCGAUCAUCCAUCAAUCCAUUUCCUACCUGUAAAACAAACACUCACCAAAGUCUUUAUAAAUCACAUUAAUAAAUAAUCACAUAGGGAAUGAUAAUGAGGACAUGCUCACCAUGUAACCCUUCAGGUUGAUUGUGUUUUCGCCAGAAGCUUGGUUAUGUCUUACAAUGGCUUGGCUCAGCUGAGGAAUGUAAUGACCUAUAACAAGGCAGAGAAUAUUUUAAGACAAAAUGAAAAGACUAAUAAGUAAGAUGAGCUUUCCAAGUUAUUAUUACCUGCAUAGCUCUCCCCAACUAUAUAAAACUCUCUUCCUUUGUACUCCGGAUAUCUCUCAACCCAUUUCAGCAGAAAUGUAAGCGAGUCUUGUGCUGUGUAAAUCAUAAAGCCGCAACUAUAAACCCCCCACCCACCAACAAAGAGUAUCUAAAAAGACAAUGAGCUUAAGCAGCUAAGACAUUACCAGUUCUCUUAUCACCAUUGGUAAGCAAAUCAGAUGAAGUGUUUGAGUAUGAAAAGCCAACUCCAACUGGUGCAUCCAGGAACAAUAUAUUCGCAGCUGCACAAAUAAAAGUUGGACCAAAGUUUUAAGCUUUAAUAGAAUCAUAUCUAUCUCUCUCUCUCUCAAACAUAAUCUCUCAUUUCAAUUUUACCUUGGUUCCAAGAAUGUUGAUUAAGGUAAAGAGUCUUCCCAUCUGGCUUAAUGUGAAAUGGUCCUAUCUCUUCUGCUUCGCCAAAUCCAACUGAUGAACAUCCUGGUCCUGUACAGAGAGAUAGUAAAUAAACAAAAAACAAUCCAUCUCAGACCAGGUUGCUAUGAAGAUCCAUUCAUUUUGUUUGAAGAAUAAGAAAGUGAAAGCUUUUCCAUAUCAAAGUAGUGUUUAAAAUCCUAGAAAAGAAAAAUCCCAAUUAGAUUCCAUUUUAGGAAUCAGAACAACAUAGUUGCCACUCAUAGCCUACAAGAAUCAACAUGAAACCAAAAUUGAAAAUCACGUGUAACAUAUCAAAAGCUACAAUAAAAUUAGAAACAACCAAUAUGUAAUCAAAUCCUACAAGACAUCUACAAAAAGCUUAAAUUAAGAUCCACAUCAUAUAACAGUAGCUCAUAGCAAUCAAAACAGGUUUGAUGAGUUGGCAAUCUAUUUAAAUACUAUUGAAUUAAUUAAGCAGAAAAGGAUAGAACUAAAUUAAUAAAAUGGAGAAAACUUAAGGCUUUGUUUUUUUAUGUAACAAACCUCCAUUGAGCCAGAGUACAAGAGGCUUAGACGCAGGAUCUUCAGCAGCUUCAAUUAGCCAGUAGAAGAGCGCUCUUCCCAGCUUCUCAUUCGUUGUAACGAAUCCAGAAUAGUGAGCAAAAUUUACAUUGAAGUUCUGACCGGGCAACUUGGAGACCUUAUCCUGUUCUUUCUCAGACAAGACAGAUUCACAGUUGCAGAAAUGGGCAAUCGCUAGAACAGCGAUUGGGAAGAGAGCGUUGACGAAACAAGACUCUUUGGUUUUAGCCAUUAAUGUUUGGUAUGUUCACAGUACAAUGGAGAUUUAUUUGUGCAAUUUAAAGACAGAAGAUUAGAAAGCAUGUGGGAGAUGACGUCAUAAGCUUACUCGACCAAUCCCAGAAGAAUCUGACUUUUAUUAUAUUUCACUCAUCGUACGUUGUGUGGGUGUGGUCCUAACGAAUGUAAACGUUCAAACGUAACUGCAAAGGACUCAGAAUGGCGUUUUUGGUUUAGCAAUUAGCUGUUAUUACUUAGGUUAGAUUUUUUUGCUGGAUGAUUGAUUAAUUACGAAGACCUUAUCUGAAUUCGUAAUUAGAGAUUUUUGGAAUCUGUUUUGUUGUGUUGUAUGUAAACUGCUGUUUUGGUAUUAAAUAUAGCGUUACUGAUUGCGUCUGCGUUUGAGAUAGUUGCGUGUGAGAGGCGGAAACUGUAGGUGUGGAAUAGAAGCAAGUGCCAAAAGGGCUUCACGUGUUUUCUUCUAUUGGGCCGUUUCUAAGCUACGUCAUAUUACUAAACUAAACUAUUUCUUUCUUACAGCAUAAAAAUGAAGCAAUAGCUUUUAUGUUUCUUUACGUUUUGGCUUAGAUAAUUAAAGUAUUAUCAAACCAUCCCAUGGGAAUCUUGUGCGUCAUUUUCAACUUUUACUAAAUAAUAAUAAUUGACUCUAUAACUGGAGCUUUUUCUGACGACAGAUUUGAUAAAGCCUGGAGGGUCCAGCACUUUCGGAGCUUGUGGCUGCACGCUCGUUGAAUACAUACCAACAAAGCAAAUGCUAAAAGAAUCCUGCGUUUUUGAACAUCAUCAUAAGAUCAAGCUUUAAGACAAGGUAUGAUACAAUCAGUACUGUACCUUCAGUUGCAUCUCUUUGGGUUUUGAAACCAAGACCAAUGUUCUUUCCAUAAACGAUUGCCUUCUUUUCAUGCCUCUUUCUCUUACCUGGUCUCUUUGAGCUGAUAAAAACGAUAGGAUCAUAUGCACAAGUGACCAUAUAUAAUCUAAUCCGUGUAAGCAAAUACAGAGCAACUAAUCACGAGACUUUUACCAUAUAUGUAUGGGCUUUACGCAUAGGCUGUGACCAAUCCUUAUUUGGGCUUAAAGGAGAACUUCAGAGGGGAUAGUUAUACUGGGCUUAUAUAUGAAAAUAGUGUUUAGUAUAAGAAAUAUUAACUUGGAUAUUUUUGAUGAUUUUAGGUUUGGUAAACAUACGAAUUUAUCUGGAACAUAGGUUUAGGAGAAAGUAAACAAAUUAAUGUUUAAUUUAUUUUGAUUGAUUUUCUAAUAAAACCAAAUUCUCCCUAACUGGUCAAUGAUAUGGUUUUUAGUGUCUUUAUCAGUGGCACUCGAUAAUUUCAAUUUGUUAAAAGAUAAGGCACUAAAAUUAUUUGUCCAGUAUCAUAUAAUUGUAUAAUCAAAUUAUUGAUGAGCACACGUCAACAAAUUCAAGAAUGGUACCUUAUGUCAUGACAUCAUUGACAUGACAUAUUAUAUAACUAGUAGGUCCAAUAUGAUGGGAGCUUUGUUACUUUACCAUAUCCACAUAACUCAACCACUUAUUAACAACGACGACCCUCUCAAAAUUAGACAAGGUGACUAGGUGAGAAGAUACAUAAAUAAUUGAAAUAAUUGGUAAUAAAAUUUAACAUUUUUACCAAAAAAAAAAAAUAAUUGAAAUGACAGAGGAAAUAACACAUGUGUUAAGAAUUAAACUAAACUGGAAAAGGUGAUUCAAAGAUCGGCCAUGUGCAUGUAUAACAAUUUACAAAGUCAACGACGGCAACUGUUACCAAGGAUUAACAUGAGUUUGCAAAGUUACAAGAAGUACAACUAAACACACAAAAAAUAUAUAUGGAAAAGUGAAGAGUGUGGAUUCCAUGUUAUCCUAUUAUCAUUUGUGUGGGGUUGCGAUGGCUCUAUUUGAUUCCGAAUCCAAAGCUAAGUUGUCAAAUACGAAUCUCACGAGAUUCUCUUUAAUGUCAAUCAUAUAUUUUAUGUUUGUUUCAGAUGGCAGCACAUCAUGAAUGUAUUAAUUUUGUUAAGAGUGUAAUGAAUUUCUAUAUAUUUAAAUUUUUUAUUUCAAGUUAUUGGUUUACCAUAACAAGCUUUAAAUUCAAACUAAAGAUAUGUGUUUAGCAUUCUCGUAACUUUAGUUUAGUAGAGGUAAAAAUGUUAUAAAAUGGCAUUAGGAUCUCUUAAGAUGUUACACCCGUUCUCUAUCACAUUUAUAAAGCUAAAACAAAAGCUUUCAUGCUUUUAUGUCUAAGUAAGCUUCAGCUGCUUUAUGUGUUUUAUAUCCUUAUAGAUAUAGAAUAUAUUUUCAUGUUUGUUAACAAACACAGCAGAAGCAGUUGGCUAUUUACUUUAAUUCCUUCUAUUGUUUCUCUAAUAUCACUUUAUAAGAUUUUGAUAUGUAAUUGUAUUAUAUUUUUGUUUCACAUUUCGAUGUAUGAUAUACAUAUCUCUCUUAGUGUAUAGAAGAAUACACACCUUCAAAGACUCCCAUGUGGAAGCUCAACCAUUCUGAUGCUAACUACUAGCCUUUGAAAUAAUGUGAGGUGUUACCUCUUUCUCCACCACAAGUAUCUUUUUGUCCAUAGCUAUUCAUAAUUAAUCAAAAAGGUGGUCCAAUUUUACACCUUAGUGCUGUGACUAUCUUUCAUACAUCUCUAGAGUGGAACAUAUGAUACUGCUAAUUGCAGUUAUAUUUACAUAAACUAAAACAAAGCGCCCAAACGAGGAAAAAAAAAAACAGUUUCUUUUGCCUCCUAAUUUCGUAAAAAAUAAUGCAAAACUCAUUUUUUAAUAAAAUGUUUUCCUAAACAAUGCAACCAAUCACGGCCAAAAAUGUAAAGAAACAUUGAAAUAUCACUUUCAAAAGAUCGUUUUCAAUGUCAAGCUGCUUGCAUACUUAAUUUAAUCAUCUUUCUCUGCAAUAAUAAUGGACCCCUACGGCCAUUUUUGUGUGUAGGUGGUCCAAUUCACAUCACAUGCCAAUCAAGCUGAUCAUAUGAUAUGAAAAUGCUAAAAUUACUUUAUACAUAGUAACAUCGAUAAGCUUAUCAUAUGAUCAUCAUACGUAUAAACAUUGUGAUUCAGAUUAUGGCCACAAUUGUGUUACGUUAUGACUUAUGUACGUAGUGUUGAUUUGGAGGUUGCUCUAAGAUCUGGUGUCAAAAGAAAAGAAACCAAUUAAUUACUGAAUAUGGCCGAGAUUCAGAAUUAAUUAUAUUAGCUUUUGUGUUUUGUUGUUUUUUUUUUGUUAUUAUUCAUUUCUUGAUUCGUUAUAAGUUAUAACGUUUCUUACUGUAAAUAGAACAAAAAUAAACUAAUCCAAACUAACAUUAACACGUUUAUUAAGUUGAUAACACUAUUGGAUAUGAAUUGAGGGUAUAGAAGGUUUAUAUUUCAAUUUAUCUAACUAUUGGGGUAAAAUCAAAAUAAAUAAAGAGUUACUGUCCCUCCCUGUGAAAACAAGGCUUUAUCUGUUCUUCUCUUCUACAGAGGGAGAAGAAAAAAAACAAAACAAAAGGGUUUCCUCCGUCUCUGUCUUGCGUGAGAGACUAAACUUACAUCCGAAGCUUCUCCGUAACUUUCCAUCAAUUAAAAAAAAACGUGUAAAAUUAUCGAAAAAAGAAAAAAAAAUUCGUUGUAGAAGCUCAGAGGAGGAGGAGGAAGAGGAAAGCCUUUGAGGUUUCGUAGAAGAAAAAUUGAGGAAUAUUAAUUGUUUAAAUCAAGUGGGUUUUCGUGAAGAGAAGUUCGACUUUGACACUCGUCUCUUCACGCAAUCGUCGUAUCACGUCUUCUAGGGCUUGCUUCAAUUUUUGAUUUAAAAAAAAAAGUAAUUUUUCUGGGUAAGGAAGGCGAAAGUUGGAGAAUUUGAGGAUAUCUCGUGGUGGGUACUUUGGAAAACAUCGAAAGGUUUAGUCUUUGAUGAAUCUGUAGUCUGGUCAAAGGAUCGAAGAUUUAGAUAGAAAGAAAGCCUUAGUCUUUGUUGGUUUGGUUUGGUUUGGUUUGGUUUGGUUGCCUUUGUCUCCAUCUCUCUAGGUUGGCUACGAUGAGCGCAAGCUUCACUUGUGAUGACGGGAAGCUGAUUCUCUGCGUGGCGGAGAACGGCCACACAUUUGAAUUCAAUUGCAGCGAGACGACUCUAGUUGAAUCCGUGAUGCGUUUCGUUGAAUCUGUCUCCGGGAUCACCUUCUCUGACCAGCUUCUCCUCUCGCUGGACAUGAAGCUCGAGCCUCAGAAGCUGCUUUCUGCUUACGGUCUCCCUUCAAGCGACCGAGAAGUGUUUGUUUUCAACAAGUCUAUGCUUCAAAGCAGCUCUCAUCCUCCCUCACCGGAAGAUUUAGAUUUACAGGAGGUUGAUGAUGCUUUGCCUCCUGCUCCAGUCCAUGAGCAUCAUCCCUUGGACGACGCGUUGGAUCCGGCUCUAAAGGCUUUGCCUUUGUACGAGAGGCAGUUUCGUUACCAUUUCCAUAAAGGCCGCGUCUUUUACAAUUGUACUGUUGUGAGGCUUGAGAGCUGUGAGAGGCUGACGAGAGAGCAGAAGGUGCAGCAGAAAGCUGUUGAAGUCGCUACGAGGAAUCUUGAGCAGUAUUACAGGGUGAUCUUUCAGAACUUUCUCGAGUUCAUGAAGCGUUAUAAGCACCAGCACCGCCUCCACUCUGAUCUGCUGAUGAAUUUCGGAAGGGAUGUUGAGAAACUGAGGUCGGUUAAGGUUCACCCUGGUCUGCAAACCGAUUCGAGGAGAUGCUUGUUGGACUUUGUCAAGGAAGAUAGCCUCAAAAAGGCUGCGGAGAGUUGCGGAAUCUCUCACAAGCAGUUUGAGAACAAGAUCGCUCAGUUUCAGCAGAUGUUUGUGGAGGUCAAGCGCAAGGUUGAGGAGCUGUUUGCUUGCAGAGACUCCUUAACGAUGAAGAGCUUAGAAGCGGCUCUUAAGGACCACGAACGAUUCAUUAACGAGCAGAAGAGCAUAAUGCAGUCUCUAAGCAAAGAUGUCGAUACGGUUAAGAAGCUUGUGGAUGACUGCAUGUCUAGCCAAUCGUCAUCAUCUCUCCGACCUCAUGACGCUGUUUCAGCGCUUGGUCCUAUGUACGAAGUGCACGACAAGAAUCACCUCCCUAAGAUGCAGGCUUGUUACAACUCCAUUUCAGAGUUGCUGGCGUUUUGCAAGAGCAAGAAGAAUGAGAUGAAUGGCUUUGUGCACAGCUACAUGCAAAAGAUAACGUACGUCACAUAUAUCAUCAAAGAUGCGAAGUUGCAGUUUCCUGUUUUCAGAGAGGCGAUGGUGCGUCAGGACGACUUGUUCGCUGACCUGAAGCUGGUCCGUGGUGUUGGCCCCGCUUAUAGAGCCUGCCUCGCAGAGGCUGUGAGGAGGAGAUCCUCUAUGAAGCUUUACAUGGGAAUGGCUGGGCAAUUGGCAGAGAAGCUUGCUAUGAAGAGGGAGACAGAGGUCAGGAGACGCGAGGAGUUUCUCAAAACUCAUGGUCCUUUCUUACCGCGUGAUGUGUUGUCCUCAAUGGGUUUAUAUGAUACUCCCACUCAGUGUGAUGUCAAUGUAUCUCCUUAUGAUACUAGUUUGAUCAAUAUUGAAAUGGCAGACGUUGAUCGAUAUGCUCCUGAGUAUCUGGUUGGGUUACAUUCAAAGGUUGCGUCCUCAAGGAGUUCACUGGGGAUGUCUAGUGAUAGCUCGCUUUCCGCUGAAGCUGAGGAGACAAGCUUGGACAGUUUUGAAGAUAUCCUAGAGGCCUCUGAGUUAGUGGAGAUAGCAGGGACCAGCAAGAUGGAAGUUGAGAACGCGAAACUAAAAGCAGACCUUGCUUCUGCAAUCUCUCGGAUAUGUUCCUUAGGCCCACAAGUUGAAUACGAUGUGCUGGAGGAUGGAAGCGAAGUGGAAAAUCUGUUGAAAAAUGCAGCAGAGAAAACAGCAGAGGCGCUGCAGGCGAAAGAUGAGUAUGAGAAACAUCUCUUGUCCAUGCUCAAGGAGAAACAAAGGCAUUGUGAUUCAUAUGAGAAACGCAUCCGUGAACUGGAACAACGUCUCAAUGAUGAGUAUCUACAGGGAAAGAGNNNNNNNNNNNNNNNNNNNNNNNNNNNNGGGAAAGAGAUAUGUUAAUAGUAAAGAUGUGUCUGGCUUGAACCUUAUGGACAAAGCAGACGCUUCAGGUGACGUGGAAGGCAACAAAGCACAUGUAUCUGGUUCAGAGCCCAUGGAUGAGGUCUCAUGUGUUUCAAAUCUUUCUAGCAAGCAGCCAUGUAAAGCUAGGGAAGGUAUGGAUGAGAACAUGGUGGAUUCCUCUCAGGUGCUCAGUCAUCAUCCGCUUGAUUCAUCGAUGCUGGAAAGCCAGUGUCUGGCUUGAACCUUAUGGAAGAAAAAGGCAACAAAGCUCAUGUAUCUGGUUCAGAGCCCAUGGAUGAGGUCUCAUGUGUUUCAAAUCUUUCUAGCAAGCAGCCAUGUAAAGCUAGGGAAGGUAUGGAUGAGAACAUGGUGGAUUCCUCUCAGGUGCUCAGUCAUCAUCCGCUUGAUUCAUCAAUGCUGGAAAGCCAGCAAAACAAUGAGAAAGGUGGAAAGGAUAACGUGUUUCUAAGUGACAGUUCGACAGCCGAGAGCCCAACAAAAUCUUUGGGUAAUAAUGUGGUAACUAACAUAGGUUUAGAUACCAAACACAGUGAUGGUAUUAUCUUGGAACUUAAGAAUGAGCUGAUGGAGAAGUCCGAUAAACUGAGUGAAACAGAGUCCAAGCUAAAUGGUGCUAUGGAAGAGGUAGCCAGCCUGAGCAGAGAGUUGGAAAUGAAUCAGAAAAUUCUCGAAGAAUCCCAGGUUUUUCAGCUAUUUCAUUAUUUUUAUUUAUUUAUUUAUUUAUUUUUAUUAAUCGCAUUGGGUGAGAUUAGGAGCUAGUCUUUACUUUUUGGUAUGUUAUCUUUAGCCAUUAUAUGAGCCUUUUCCCUUGAGUUCAUGUGGUACGUAUGGCUGUCUUGGUUGUAGAUGAACUGUGCGCAUUUGGAGAACUGCUUACAUGAAGCAAGAGAAGAAGCCCAGACCCAUCUUUGUGCUGCUGAUCGUAGAGCUUCUGAGUACACUGCACUCCGUGCGUCAGCUGUGAAGAUGCGAGGUCUCUUUGAAAGAUUCCGGAGCUCUGUGUGUGCUGGUGGUGGGGUCGCUGGUUUUGCUGACUCCUUGCGUACUUUGGCUCAAGCUUUAGACAAGUAAGUUCCUAUCAUUGUUCUUCCUCUCUUGUUAUAUCCACUUUUAAAGCUCUUGGUUUCUCAUAUAUUUCUUUGGAUUUGCAUCUCUCUUUCACAGCUCGAUUAAUGACAAUGAGGAUGAUGGCACUGUUGAGUUCCGGAAGUGCAUCCGAGUUCUGGCAGACAAAGUUAGCUACCUCUCCCAAAACCGGGAGGAGUUAUUUGAGAAGUGCCGGAAUCUUGAAUCCACAAGUGAAGAGACAAUAAAGGAGUUGAAGGAAAAGAAAGAGCUGGUGAAAACAUUGUACACCAAGCACCAACUUGGGAAGCAGGUAAGAAUAUGCGUUUUUGUUAUUUCAUUUGUGUGGGAUGCAUCUUAAAACUUUUUUGAACAUUUUGUGGACAGGCGAAUAAGGAAAAGAUAUCAUUUGGUCGUCUUGAAGUCCAUGAGAUAGCAGCAUUUGUGUUAAACCAAGCAGGGCAUUACGAGGCAAUCAACAGGAACUGCCCAAACUACUACUUGUCCUCUGAAUCCGAGGCGUUGUUCACAGAUCACCUCCCGAACCGGCCUACAUACAUCGUUGGACAGAUUGUCCACAUCGAGCGCCAAGCAGUGAAGCAGGCACAGACACUUUCAGCUUCUGCGUCUCCUGAGGCUGGUAAGAGAGAUUAUCUCGGCUCAAGAAACCUGGCAUCAAGUUCAAUGUCUUCAACAUCGUCUUCAGGAGCAACGACAACAAACCCUUAUGGCCUCUCAUCAGGAUUUGAAUACUUCAUAGUGACAAUAGCAAUGCUUCCUGACACUGGUAUUCAUCAACAAGCUUCCUGAUCCUUUUGCUUGUUCCUGCGGCAGAUUGAUAUGAUGGAAGAAACCUCUCCCCAGAAAAGAACAAAAAUGUAAAUAGUUAAAUAACCAUCAAUAACCAGACAGCCGCUCGUUUGAUUUGUGGAUGUUGGGUUUCAUUUGUCUCUAAAGUAUGUUAUUUCAUAUCUUCUUUCUUUCUGUACAGCUGAUGAUCACUGAUCUUAGUUUAAUCUGUUAUCCUUGUACAUACUCUGCUUUAUUAAAAUGUUGUAAUAAAAGAACAAUUUAAAUAUAUAAAAAUGAUAAAUUUAGGAUAAAUAAUGGAAUGCCUACGUCUCCUGAGACAUUGUUUUAUGAUUAGGGUGAUCUACACAAAUUCAUUAUCAAAACGUCUUUCUUCAUAUCCCUGUGGGGUUUAGUAACCAAGAGAUGAAUUUGAUUUACAUGAGAAAAAAAAACAGCAAAGCUAAUAGUACAGGUCUCCUAUACUUGCCAAAUCCUGAAAAGAGAGGCAGAGUUUAUAAAAGUUAUCUAUUUAUAUGCAUCACCAUCUUCUUCUGAAAUGUUGGACAAGAACUUUGGCAAGGAUGUGAUCCGGGGAAGGUGUAAGAGCAAAUCGCUGAACGAGUCUUUCCUUAACAUGCCCCCCUGUGGUUUGCUGCUGGAAGCCGGAUCAAGAACUCUGUUGUUGUUGUUGGCAGACACUGUCCCAUUCAGAUCAUUGAGUUCAGACUUCAAUCCAACUGGGAUCUCAGUAUUGAGCUGUGAGUUUGCAGCUACGUUGGGAUCCUUGUACAAGAGGUUGAAUAAAGAAUUAACCCUUGGCAUGAGAGACUUCUCAUCUGGUGUAUCGAACUGGAUAUUAUCACUUAGCAGUUGCUGUUUCAAGCUCUCAAACUUCUCCAGAUGCUCCGGAUGAUUU